This 921-nucleotide long non-coding RNA is filed under the name Homo sapiens (human). RNAcentral describes it as "HSALNT0018852". Lineage: Eukaryota; Metazoa; Chordata; Mammalia; Primates; Hominidae. The record is from RNAcentral.
AGUUUUUCUGGAACACUGUCUCUGAGAGCCCUGAUCAACCAUGUAAGGAGGUAGAUUGCCCUCAGACCUGAAGAUGACAUGUGAAGGACCUCUAGAAAACCGUCCCAGCUGAGCCCUUUUUUCCAGCCUCCCUACCAAGGCAGAAAAGUGAAAGGUGAGAGGAUAAAAAGAAAAAUGAAUAAAGAGCUUAAAGAAAGAUAAUUCAAGGAAAGAAGAAUGGCAGACAGUUAAGAAGAGGAAGACCUGAGCUUUGGAACAUUCUGAACCAUAACAGUUCAGCUGCAACUGCAGCCACAGUUGUGUCAUACAGUGUUCCCAAGACAAAUCUUGCAGAUGCAAGAGAACCUUGUUAAAAUCAGGAAGACUCCAUUUCCCAGGACAGUCCUCAUUUCAUCUCGAUGACCAAUGAGAUAGAUGUUUCUGGGCAUCAGGAAACCGAGGCAAGUCACAGAGUUAUUCCACAAUUCCUUUUAUUCUCUACCUCAGGGAUUGUUAAGCAACAUUAAGGUACAGUCCACGGGCUUUUCAGCCCCUUGCCACAGGUAGGAAUACUUGGCAAGUCUGAUCAGUUUAGGACGCUAUGGCCUCCUCUCACUCACAACUGCUGUGGCCCACUUGGCCUUGGAGAUGCAUGCUCAGAGGGAUUCUCCCAUUACCACGUGCAAGCUCACUGGGCAAGCAUGGCUCAUUGCCUGAAGGAGAUCAUGUUUGCACCACUUAAACAUGUGAGAUCUAAAUGGUGCAAACAUGCAAUUAUUUUUCUGUGACUUUAUGUCCCAGACACCCAACAAGCAAGGCUCUCUAUUCUCUAAUAGUAACUUUAAAAACGCAGUCAGAUUUUGGAAAAAGGGAGCUAUCACAGGAAUGUGGUUCUUUUAUAUGCCUUAUUUUAAAACGUAAUAUAUGUAAUUAUCUUCUCGG